ACGGGUGAGUAACACGUGGGUAAUCUGCCUGACAAUCUGGGAUAACAGGGUGAAAACGCUGCUAAUACCGGAUAAGCUCACAGGGACGGGAGUCCUGGUGAGAAAAGGAGCAAUCCGUUGUCGGAUGAGCCCGCGGCUGAUUAGCUAGUUGGUGGGGUAAAGGCCUACCAAGGCGACGAUCAGUAGCCGGCCUGAGAGGGUGUACGGCCACACUGGAACUGAGACACGGUCCAGACUCCUACGGGAGGCAGCAGUGGGGAAUUUUCCGCAAUGGGCGAAAGCCUGACGGAGCAAUGCCGCGUGAGUGACGAAGGCCUUCGGGUUGUAAAGCUCUGUCUUCAGGGACGAAAAAAAUGACGGUACCUGAGGAGGAAGCCACGGCUAACUACGUGCCAGCAGCCGCGGUAAUACGUAGGUGGCAAGCGUUGUCCGGAAUGACUGGGCGUAAAGGGCGUGUAGGUGGAUUGAUCAGUCGGAUGUGAAAUACCCGGGCUUAACCUGGGAGCUGCAUUCGAUACGGUCAGUCUUGAGUGCAGGAGAGGGUAGUGGAAUUCCCAGUGUAGCGGUGAAAUGCGUAGAGAUUGGGAGGAACACCAGUGGCGAAGGCGGCUACCUGGACUGUAACUGACACUGAGGCGCGAAAGCGUGGGGAGCAAACAGGAUUAGGUACCCUGGUAGUCCACGCCGUAAACGAUGGGUACUAGGUGUAGGAGGUAUCGACCCCUUCUGUGCCGGAGUUAACACAAUAAGUACCCCGCCUGGGGAGUACGGCCGCAAGGUUGAAACUCAAAGGAAUUGACGGGGGCCCGCACAAGCGGUGGAGCAUGUGGUUUAAUUCGACGCAACGCGAAGAACCUUACCAGGUCUUGACAUAGUACUGCAAGGCUAAGAGAUUAGUCC
RNAcentral lists this ribosomal RNA (900 nucleotides) under uncultured bacterium. RNAcentral describes it as "bacterial SSU rRNA". It matches the Rfam family "Bacterial small subunit ribosomal RNA", at positions 102 to 1013 of the family's 1533-position model. The record is from RNAcentral.